This 216-nucleotide long non-coding RNA is filed under the name Homo sapiens (human). RNAcentral's name for it is "non-protein coding lnc-RBMS1-10:1". The record is from RNAcentral. Lineage: Eukaryota; Metazoa; Chordata; Mammalia; Primates; Hominidae.
CUCAAAUGAGACGGAUAAUUAGUUGCCCCGCACGAAUGCCGCACUCUUCUCACCCCUGAUUGCUAUCACCUUCUUGCUCCUGGCAGUUUUGACACCUCGUAAUCAGCCUGCUGCUUUUCUCUUUUCUUCCCGACUUCUGCUUCCCUCCCCCCGCUUUCCUUCCUAGUUUAUUUAUUUAUUUAUUAUUAUUAUUUUAAAUGCAAUCCCGGUGCUUAU